RNAcentral lists this long non-coding RNA (1464 nucleotides) under Ananas comosus (pineapple). RNAcentral's name for it is "long non-coding RNA (ACOM_LNC039129)". The record is from RNAcentral. Lineage: Eukaryota; Viridiplantae; Streptophyta; Magnoliopsida; Poales; Bromeliaceae.
AUCAGAACGGAGCAAAUUUACCCCAUUGUAAAUGGAUAUGAUUUUGGACAUUAAUAUAAAAAACAAAAAUUCGACGAACAUGGAUACGGAUAUAGAUUUUGACCGUACCUGACUCGACUCGAACCCGACCCGAACCCGAUCCGAACCUGAAUUUAUUUUAUAUUAUAUAUAAUAUGUAUAUAAAAAUUUGAUAUUAUAUUUGAAUUUAUAUUUUAAAAUUUUAAAUUUAAUAUAAUAUAUUUUGAAAUAUUGAAAAGAGAAAUAAUUGUUUCGGAUUCGGAUUUUCGGAUUCAGGUUUGGGUUUGGGUUCGGAUUUCAGGUUUUUGGUCGGGUUUGGAUUUGGGUUUUUGAAAAUCUGUCCAAAAUCCGAUCCGUUGACAUCCCUACUUAUAAAUUAUUUUCGAUGGUAGGAUAUCUGAUUCGAUGAUCGGCUCCAUUAGAUAUAAUCAACGCUAUUAGAAUUAUUUAGAAACCAAUUUUCAUAAUUUUUUGAUUUUAUUUGCCUAGUGAACGAGUAGCCUCAAGAUGAACGGCUGAAAAUAAAAAUUAUAUAAAAAAUAAUAAUAAAAUAUUCAAAUAUCAAAUCGAAAGUAUUAUUCUUAUUUUGAUGUUAAGUAGAAUUUUUUUUUAAAAAUUUAUAUAAUUUGAAUUCUUCUACACCGUUCAACUUGCAAACCUGCCACAUCGGCCGUUAAAAUAGCCAUUUUUUAGACCCUUUGAUCACUUGUUAAACGAUGUCAGAAAAUUAUAAAAUUUGAUUUCUAAAUAGUUCUAAACAUAGAUCAUACUUAACGGAGCCGGUCAUCAAAUCGGAUAUCCCAUAAUCGAAAACAAUUUACAAGUAGGGGUGGCAAUCCAGCUCGCUGUUCGCGAGCCAGCUUGUGUUCGGCUCGAAAUGAGCUCGAGAUCGGCUCGCUCGUUUAGUAAACGAGUCGAACACGACUGAUUUUUCAGCUCGUUUAAUAAACGAGCCAAACACCGAGCUUGGAGGUACUCGCAAAUCAAAGUCGGUUCCGGCCUUGAUAACAGCGUCGAAUAUAUAUAUUUAUAUUUAUAAUAAUGUUAUUUAAUUUAUAUUUUUAUAUACUAAAAUAAAUAAUUAUAUAUAAUAUAUAUAUUUAUUAUUUAAUUUUUAGCAAAAUAAAAAUAUAAAUUCGAGCUUAAUUAUAAAAAAAUUUAUUUAUAUGUAAAGUUUCAAUUAUUAGAUCAAAGUCUAAUAAAUAAAAUUUUAUAAAUUUAUUUUUUAUAUAUAUUUAAUCUAAUUUUUUUUAAUUUAUUGUUCGUUGGCUAGCUCGUGAGCCGGCUCGUGUUCGGUUCGUUAAUAAACGAGCCGAGCACGAGCUAAAUUUUUCGGCUCGAUACUUUAAAGAGCCAGCUCGUAUUCGGUUCGUUUAAUAAACGAGCCGAACACGAGCCGACCCCAGCUCACUCGUGUUCGGCUCGUUUACACCCCUACCUUAUACA